RNAcentral lists this ribosomal RNA (461 nucleotides) under uncultured Pseudomonadota bacterium. RNAcentral describes it as "bacterial SSU rRNA". It matches the Rfam family "Bacterial small subunit ribosomal RNA", at positions 40 to 496 of the family's 1533-position model. The record is from RNAcentral. Lineage: Bacteria; Pseudomonadati; Pseudomonadota.
CGGCAUGCCUUACACAUGCAAGUCGAACGGCAGCGGGCUCUUCGGAGUGCCGGCGAGUGGCAAACGGGUGAGUAAUACAUCGGAACAUGCCCAGUAGUGGGGGAUAGCUCGGCGAAAGCCGAAUUAAUACCGCAUACGACCUUCGGGUGAAAGGGGGGGAUCUUCGGACCUCUCGCUAUUGGAGUGGCCGAUGCCUGAUUAGUUUGUUGGUGGGGUAACGGCCUACCAAGACUGCGAUCAGUAGCUGGUCUGAGAGGACGAUCAGCCACACUGGGACUGAGACACGGCCCAGACUCCUACGGGAGGCAGCAGUGGGGAAUCUUGGACAAUGGGCGAAAGCCUGAUCCAGCAAUGCCGCGUGUGCGAUGAAGGCUUUCGGGUUGUAAAGCACUUUUGUCAGGGAAGAAAUGGUUCGGGCCAAUAACUCGGACUUCUGACGGUACCUGAAGAAUAAGCACCGG